This 253-nucleotide ribosomal RNA is filed under the name uncultured bacterium. Its description in RNAcentral is "partial 16S ribosomal RNA". It matches the Rfam family "Bacterial small subunit ribosomal RNA", at positions 524 to 776 of the family's 1533-position model. The record is from RNAcentral.
UACGUAGGGGGCUAGCGUUGUCCGGAUUUAUUGGGCGUAAAGAGCGUGUAGGCGGCCAGGUAGGUCUGCUGUGAAAACUCGAGGCUCAACCUCGAGACGCCGGUGGAAACCGUAAAGCUAGAGUCCGGAAGAGGAGAGUGGAAUUCCUGGUGUAGCGGUGAAAUGCGCAGAUAUCAGGAAGAACACCCGUGGCGAAGGCGGCUCUCUGGGACGGUACUGACGCUGAGACGCGAAAGCGUGGGGAGCGAACAGG